UAUAAUAAUAAAUUUCUAAGAUAUUUUUUUUCGUCGAUGAACGAGUUAUUUGAGGAAAUAUGUUAAAAUCAUGCCAGUAACGAAGCACGUUAGGAACUAUAAGACCAAAGCGAUACAAAAAGAAUCGCAAAAUUCAUCGAAAGUCAACUUUUCCUGAGGGAGUUGUAGCCCAGUGCUUUUCCGGGAGUGAGGUUCCGUGGGUUGGAACCACUCCUUUCUUUGGCGCUCAAUUCUUUUGAAUGGGCACAUGGGUAGAACCCCUCCCCUUUAACCUGGGUUGGACCCCUCUUUUUAAAAUGGCUGGAUCCGCCCCGGUAGCCUUAUUUUCUAAAUUGCUUUUUUUUAAAUUUAUCAACGAGGCAUUUAAGGAAAUAUGUAUCAUUAUAAUUCAUUUGAUCGUUCAUUUACAAAUGAUAU
This 417-nucleotide long non-coding RNA is filed under the name Mytilus galloprovincialis (Mediterranean mussel). Lineage: Eukaryota; Metazoa; Mollusca; Bivalvia; Mytilida; Mytilidae. The record is from RNAcentral.